UACGUAGGGUGCGAGCGUUAAUCGGAAUCACUGGGCGUAAAGCGCACGUAGGCGGCUUUUUAAGUCAGAGGUGAAAUCCUGGAGCUCAACUCCAGAACUGCCUUUGAUACUGAGAGGCUUGAGUCCGGGAGAGGUGAGUGGAACUGCGAGUGUAGAGGUGAAAUUCGUAGAUAUUCGCAAGAACACCAGUGGCGAAGGCGGCUCACUGGCCCGGUACUGACGCUGAGGUGCGAAAGCGUGGGGAGCAAACAGGG
Molecule: ribosomal RNA, 254 nt
Filed under: uncultured bacterium
Lineage: Bacteria
Description: partial 16S ribosomal RNA
Rfam family: Bacterial small subunit ribosomal RNA
Source: RNAcentral